AGCAAGGUGGCUGAGUUAUAGGCUGUAGACUGUAAAUCUAUUUACGGGGGUACUCCCCUUUGUUA
Molecule: transfer RNA, 65 nt
Filed under: Isotomurus maculatus
Lineage: Eukaryota; Metazoa; Arthropoda; Collembola; Entomobryomorpha; Isotomidae
Description: tRNA-Tyr
Rfam family: tRNA
About the family: Transfer RNA (tRNA) molecules are approximately 80 nucleotides in length. Their secondary structure includes four short double-helical elements and three loops (D, anti-codon, and T loops).
Source: RNAcentral